Molecule: small RNA, 333 nt
Filed under: Histoplasma ohiense
Lineage: Eukaryota; Fungi; Ascomycota; Eurotiomycetes; Onygenales; Ajellomycetaceae
Description: hypothetical lncRNA
Source: RNAcentral
GCAGUGUUCAAGUGCCCUGAAGUUUAACCUAGCCUUUUUACCAUUGAACCAGCUUAUCGAAUAGCGCAUGUUUCGCGGCCAGAGCGAACUUGUCGAGUGUACGAUUUGCUGGUGUUUCAAAGAGGAUCCGUACUUUGUGCUCCUGAGGUGGGCGUUUACCGUGGUCCACGCCAAGAGGAACAUGGGCUUCCUUAUCUGCAACAAGUAACGGUGGGGUAUCUCCGUCCUUAUAUCCUUACUCUGCAACCACUACUAAAAAUACUGCGCGCAUGUAGGAACCGGACAAAAUGCAAAUCGACCCAAUCGCUGAGAAGUAUAACACAUGCUGCUCAU